This is a non-coding RNA of Podarcis muralis (Common wall lizard), 267 nucleotides long. The record is from RefSeq and is a predicted model, not a curated record. NCBI's taxonomy places the organism in Eukaryota, Metazoa, Chordata, Lepidosauria, Squamata, Lacertidae.
GUAGCCAUAUCCAACAAAUCUGAAGCUUUGGUGCUCGGUAGUGUAUGCUGUGAUGUGUUAGUUGCUGAAGAGGAAACAGCCUCUUACAGACAAGAGGAACACCUUACAAAAAGAUUACAAAAUGGUUUGCUCGAAAUAUGGCCUUUUCAAGCUCUAACCAGAGAAACCAGAAGCCUACACAGAACAACGUGGCCAGACCCAUGUAGAGAUCAACAUCCAAUGUUAACGAUUUUCAGUGAAGUGUGUUCAAAUAAAAGCAUAAAAGCC